Molecule: long non-coding RNA, 626 nt
Filed under: Anas platyrhynchos platyrhynchos (common mallard)
Lineage: Eukaryota; Metazoa; Chordata; Aves; Anseriformes; Anatidae
Description: lncRNA (ENSAPLG00000022624.1)
Source: RNAcentral
GGGUAAUGUGAGGCUGUGUGGCCCUUGUUAUCUUUUGGUCGGGAUGAAGAAAUUGGGUGCACAUUGCUGAGUCAUUGCUGGCGAGCACUGUAAGGUCUGUAAGGUAAAAUAUAAAGGCACUGUUGCUCACACAAUCAGCUUGUACGUCUGCCUUUGAAUCUACUUUGCCUAUGGCUUGGGCAGCAACUGAUGGCUGUUUUAUUCCUGAUAUAUUAAUAUGGGCUCCUGAAGUAAUGAUUACAGUGUCUAAGGAGGAAAUGGGGUCCUAUGGAGUCUUCGGUAUGAUCACAGCCCUUGGAGGAAAAAAUGAUUCUUUUAAAAGCACAAAUACUAGAUCAAGGACUUGAUAUAUCCAAGGGAUCUUUUUCUGCCCUGAGCAAGGGUGAAAACUCCAAAGCUCCAAAGCAAUGGAAAUCUCCAGAGAUGUCCACGCCAAAUAGGUUCUUGCCUGUCCUUAUUCAAAAGGCUAUUUAUCCUUCUCAAGGCUUGUGAAGUGAUUUUCAUGAAAUGAAAACCGCUGUUUGCAAAACAAGAAGUCAAGGAGUUUUACUCUGGGAGGCAUCAAAAACAAGAACUGCAAAGUUUUUCAAAAUAAAAUGUUUCAUAUAAGAAAAAAUUGAAAUAAU